AUGCAGUGCUGGUCGAUUUAGCGAAGAUGAGGCAAGAUUUUUCUUCCAGCAGCUAAUAUCCGGAGUCAGCUACUGCCAUUCCAUGCAAAUUUGUCACAGGGAUCUGAAAUUGGAAAACACACUCUUGGAUGGAAGUCCUACACCACAACUUAAGAUAUGUGACUUUGGUUACUCCAAGUCCGCUUUAUUACACUCACAACCGAAAUCGACCGUUGGGA
This 218-nucleotide unclassified non-coding RNA is filed under the name Hevea brasiliensis (rubber tree). The record is from RNAcentral. Lineage: Eukaryota; Viridiplantae; Streptophyta; Magnoliopsida; Malpighiales; Euphorbiaceae.